GGGCAGUUAGCUCAGCUGGAAGAGCAUUUCCCUUACAAGGAAGAGGUCGCAGGUUCAAAUCCUGCACUGCCCACCA
This 76-nucleotide transfer RNA is filed under the name Endomicrobium sp. RNAcentral's name for it is "tRNA-Val". It matches the Rfam family "tRNA". From Rfam's summary of the family: Transfer RNA (tRNA) molecules are approximately 80 nucleotides in length. Their secondary structure includes four short double-helical elements and three loops (D, anti-codon, and T loops). Lineage: Bacteria; Pseudomonadati; Elusimicrobiota; Endomicrobiia; Endomicrobiales; Endomicrobiaceae. The record is from RNAcentral.